Molecule: long non-coding RNA, 503 nt
Filed under: Bos taurus (domestic cattle)
Lineage: Eukaryota; Metazoa; Chordata; Mammalia; Artiodactyla; Bovidae
Description: long non-coding RNA NONBTAT025431
Source: RNAcentral
UGGCCCACCUGCUGGGGGCCCAUGUGUUCACUGGGUACAUUCACUCUUGCUAAGAUGCUCAAAUAGUUUGCUGUCUAACAUUGAUCCUUGGGGGUGUGCGCUGAAGACCUAGUGGUCAGUUCUGGGCCUUUCCUGCCUCCUGACACCUAAUAGUUACUUAGGAAGAAUUCUCUUUACAGAUCUACCCUCAUCUUUGUUGAUCUGAUUUGAUGCAGCACACCAGAGCCUCUGGCCUCAGGAGGCAGAGAAGAACAGUGGGUUUAUGGAUCUGAAGGGUGGUCUUGGAUGUUCUUCCUGUGGAAGAAGGGUCCCCUUGCCUGGUGCUGCCCCAUCAAGCCCAGGCACUGGGGUCCGCCCUCAGGCCUGCAGACUGUCUUCUACAUGAUGGCUGAUGUCGAGAGGGGAGUGAAGGUGCCUCCCCCAAACACAGGCAUCAGGUAAGGGAAGAGCAUCUUCUGCAAGUUAUUGAUUUGUCUAUACAUUUCAGAUACACACAAGCCUGG